Carassius auratus (goldfish) is the source of this 600-nucleotide long non-coding RNA. RefSeq lists it as uncharacterized. Lineage: Eukaryota; Metazoa; Chordata; Actinopteri; Cypriniformes; Cyprinidae. The record is from RefSeq and is a predicted model, not a curated record. The transcript is spliced from 3 exons.
GUGCAGUCAGAGCUGUAUAAAAGAAGCUCACGCUCAGUACUCUGGUAUCUUCUACAUCAACCCGUUCACAAACCGAGUGAAGCCAGACUUCUAAGUAACUUUCGGACUCUUUAAGGGUACUCUUGAAGAAAAAUGGAUCCUUGCGAUUGCGCCAAGACUGGAACUUGCAACUGUGGUGCCACCUGCAAGUGCACUAAUUGCCAGUGUAAAACAUGCAAGAAGAGCUGCUGUCCCUGCUGCCCGUCUGGAUGCAGCAAGUGCGCCUCUGGAUGCGUGUGUAAGGGCAAUUCCUGCGGCUCCAGCUGCUGUCAGUGACGAGGUCAACGUGAUGCUUUGUUACAGUGUGAACUUGUCCGUCUGGGCUGCGCGUCUUCGUUUUUGCAUCGCAUGAAUGUUGUCUUUUUACAAGAUAAUAAAUGGCCUCCUGUUCUCAAAUCUUAACUGUUUAAUGUUGCCAAAUCUAUUAACAAAGGCUAAAGAGAAACAAUGCACUGAUUUGUACUGCUACAAAUAAGACUAUCACACGAUAUCUGUUCUUCAUUUACACCACUGUAAGUUUCUGCAAUGUAUUUGUCUAUAAAAUAUAAAUGUCAGCAGUUA